AUUGAACGCUGGCGGCAUGCUUUACACAUGCAAGUCGAACGGCAGCGCGGGCUUCGGCCUGGCGGCGAGUGGCGAACGGGUGAGUAAUACAUCGGAACGUGCCCAGUAGUUGGGGAUAGCUCGGCGAAAGCCGGAUUAAUACCGCAUACGACCUGAGGGUGAAAGCGGGGGAUCUUCGGACCUCGCGCUAUUGGCGCGGCCGAUGGCAGAUUAGCUAGUUGGUGGGGUAAAGGCCUACCAAGGCGACGAUCUGUAGCUGGUCUGAGAGGACGACCAGCCACACUGGGACUGAGACACGGCCCAGACUCCUACGGGAGGCAGCAGUGGGGAAUUUUGGACAAUGGGCGAAAGCCUGAUCCAGCAAUGCCGCGUGUGUGAUGAAGGCCUUCGGGUUGUAAAGCACUUUUGGCGGGAACGAAAAGGACUGUGCCAAUACCACGGUUCGAUGACGGUACCCGCAGAAUAAGCACCGGCUAACUACGUG
RNAcentral lists this ribosomal RNA (484 nucleotides) under uncultured bacterium. RNAcentral's name for it is "partial 16S ribosomal RNA". It matches the Rfam family "Bacterial small subunit ribosomal RNA", at positions 29 to 507 of the family's 1533-position model. The record is from RNAcentral.